RNAcentral lists this ribosomal RNA (905 nucleotides) under uncultured Lentimicrobium sp. Its description in RNAcentral is "bacterial SSU rRNA". It matches the Rfam family "Bacterial small subunit ribosomal RNA", at positions 585 to 1502 of the family's 1533-position model. Lineage: Bacteria; Pseudomonadati; Bacteroidota; Bacteroidia; Bacteroidales; Lentimicrobiaceae. The record is from RNAcentral.
AAGUCAGGGGUGAAAUCCCACAGCUCAACUGUGGAACUGCCUUUGAUACUGUCAGUCUAGAGUAUAGUUGAAGUUGGCGGAAUGUGUCAUGUAGCGGUGAAAUGCUUAGAUAUGACACAGAACACCGAUCGCGAAGGCAGCUAGCUAAGCUAUAACUGACGCUCAUGCACGAAAGCGUGGGGAUCAAACAGGAUUAGAUACCCUGGUAGUCCACGCUGUAAACGAUGAUUACUCGAUGUUGGCGAUACACAGUCAGCGUCUGAGCGAAAGCAAUAAGUAAUCCACCUGGGGAGUACGAUCGCAAGAUUGAAACUCAAAGGAAUUGACGGGGGCCCGCACAAGCGGAGGAGCAUGUGGUUUAAUUCGAUGAUACGCGAGGAACCUUACCUGGGCUCGAACGUAAGAUGACUGUAGGUGAAAGCUUACAUCUCUUCGGAGCAUUUUACGAGGUGCUGCAUGGUUGUCGUCAGCUCGUGCCGUGAGGUGUCGGGUUAAGUCCCAUAACGAGCGCAACCCCUACCUUUAGUUGCCAUCAGGUCAUGCUGGGGACUCUAAAGGAACUGCCUACGCAAGUAGUGAGGAAGGCGGGGAUGACGUCAAAUCAGCACGGCCCUUACGUCCAGGGCUACACACGUGCUACAAUGGCCGAUACAGAGGGCAGCUACCUGGUGACAGGAUGCAAAUCUCCAAAGUCGGUCUCAGUUCGGAUCGGAGUCUGCAACCCGACUCCGUGAAGUUGGAUUCGCUAGUAAUCGCGCAUCAGCCAUGGCGCGGUGAAUACGUUCCCGGGCCUUGUACACACCGCCCGUCAAGCCAUGGAAGCUGGGGGGACCUAAAGUCGAUAACCGCAAGGAGUCGCCUAGGGUAAAACCAGUGACUGGGGCUAAGUCGUAACAAGGUAGCCG